GGGCGAAUGGUGUAGUGGCUAUCAUCCCCGCUUUGCAUCUUUCAUGCAACCUUGCGGGUGGUCGGGGGUUCAAAUCCCUCUUCGUCCA
Molecule: transfer RNA, 88 nt
Filed under: Hapsidospora chrysogenum ATCC 11550
Lineage: Eukaryota; Fungi; Ascomycota; Sordariomycetes; Hypocreales; Bionectriaceae
Description: Acremonium chrysogenum ATCC 11550 tRNA
Rfam family: tRNA
About the family: Transfer RNA (tRNA) molecules are approximately 80 nucleotides in length.
Source: Rfam by way of RNAcentral